AAAAUAAUCCUACCCUUUGUGAAUUUUGUUUGUUUGAAUAAUUUUUUUUUUAAAAAAUUAUUGGAGUCUUUCCCUUUAGAGUUUGCUUUUGAGUUUGUAAAAGAAUUCGAAAACAUCUAAAGGGGAUGGUCAAUAAUUUUUUUUGAAAAAAGACAUUUUUUAAAAUUAAACUUUUUGUAUUCAUUUGUCUAAAAAUUAUUUUUAUAAUAUAAAAACAACUUUUGACAAUGGAUCUCUUGGUUCUCGCAACGAUGAAGAACGCAGCAAAAUGCGAUAAGUAGUGUGAAUUGCAGAAUAUGUGAAUCAUCGAAUCUUUGAACGCAUAUUGCACUUUUUUAGUCUACUAAAAAAGUAUGUCUGUUUGAGUAUCAGUAAAAUAUUCUCAUAAAAAUCAUUGUGUAUUUUUAUGGUUAUGAGUGUUUUACAACGAUACAAGUUGUUUCACUUUAAAUUUUUUUUUAAUAUUGAAAUUUUUCUAAUUUUAAUAAUUAAAAUUGGAUAAAAUUUUCCCGUCAAAAGGAAUAACCUAAACAAUUUUAAAUGAUUAAUUUUAGCAAAAUUUUCGAAAAAAGGAAAAUUUUUAUUAAAAUAACUUGAUCUCAAAUCAGAUAAGAGUACCCGCUGAACUUAAGCAUAUCAAUAAGCGGAGGAAAAGAAACUAACAAGGAUUCCCUUAGUAACGGCGAGUGAAGCGGGAAGAGCUCAAAUUUGAAAUCUUCAAGGUUUUACCUUGACGAAUUGUAGUUUAAAGAAGUGUUUUCUGCUGAAGUUUUGGUAAAAGUUCUUUGGAAUAGGACAUCAUAGAGGGUGAGAAUCCCGUAUUUGACCAUUAUUUUCAGCUUUGUGAUACACUUUCAAAGAGUCGGAUUGUUUGGGAAUGCAGUCCAAAAUGGGUGGUAAAUUUCAUCUAAAGCUAAAUAUUGGCGAGAGACCGAUAGCGAACAAGUACCGUGAGGGAAAGAUGAAAAGAACUUUGAAAAGAGAGUUAAACAGUACGUGAAAUUGUCAAAAGGGAAGCGUUUGACACCAGUGUUGUUUUCUCGAAAAUCAAUUAAAAAUGGCUCGAUUUUGUAUUGCUGAGACCUUAAAAGCUCACUGUACAUUUUUCGUGUCUUUUUUAAUGCACUUUUCGUUUAACAAGUCAACAUCAGUUUCUUUUGUUGUAAAAGGGUCAUUGGAAGGUGGCUUUCUUUUCGGAGAAAGUGUUUAUAGCCUUUGGCCUCUGCAAUCGAAGAGACUGAGGUCUGCAGCGUAGACUCUUCGGGGUUAGAUACAUCUGUGCUAAGUUAUAGCUUUUUAUAGACAACUUGUUGACUAUAAUUAGUCUUGUAGCUUACUCGCUUAUGCUAUUU
Molecule: unclassified non-coding RNA, 1352 nt
Filed under: uncultured Neocallimastigales
Lineage: Eukaryota; Fungi; Neocallimastigomycota; Neocallimastigomycetes; Neocallimastigales
Description: partial contains internal transcribed spacer 1, 5.8S ribosomal RNA, internal transcribed spacer 2, and large subunit ribosomal RNA
Rfam family: Eukaryotic large subunit ribosomal RNA (bases 595-1352)
Source: RNAcentral